Molecule: long non-coding RNA, 2735 nt
Organism: Centrocercus urophasianus (Greater sage-grouse)
Lineage: Eukaryota; Metazoa; Chordata; Aves; Galliformes; Phasianidae
Exons: 3
Source: RefSeq, a predicted model, not a curated record
AACAAAGCUGUGAGGGGUCUGGAGCACAAGUCUGAUGGGGAGCUGGGAUUGUUCAGCAUGGAGAAGAGGAGCCGCAGGGGAGAAAACAACACAGGCUGCGCACCUUGGGAUGAAAGAAGGGGUAGCAGACAUUGGUGAAGCUUGACAUGAAGAGAUUGGAAAUUAAUACUAACUAACAGGACAUGCAGUGAGGGCUGGAAGAAAGAGGAUGAGACCACUGGCACACUGUUCAUGUUCUGAUACAUGCGGCAACAUUUGGGGCCCUCAUACAAAUGAAUUAAAUACAAAAAUUCAAGCCUCACUGCGCUCAUUAAGAUGUACAUGUACAUUGCAACCGGCUUCAGAAAGCGACCUUUUAACACACAUAAAAUACUUACAUACAUACAUGUAUAUAUAUCUCAAUUGCAACUUUUAUUGUGCAUAAAGCAGUUGAUACUGAGGGAGGAAAAAAAAGAUUACUGCAGAUUCACACCAGAAAUCGAUACUGGUUACUUUCUUCCAGGUUGCUCCUUACAUUUGAAAUCCUUGGUUGCAAACUGAAGUCCUCUCAUGGUGGAAUCAAAGUGAAGUUUCUGUAACAAAAGAAAGAAAAGAUUUUGUUGGAAUACCACAAUAGUGCAGACUUCAAUUGCGGCAAAUCUGACCUUUGGACUAAAGAAUUCACCUAUCUGAGAUUUACAAAGCCUGUUUCUCUCUCAUACUCAGCUGUUGGCACUUUUUGUAAUAACUGAAAAGGAACAGAGAGAAAAGCAGAAAAGAGAAAAUGCAGGGAAAAAAAAAAUCAAAAAAUAAAAGAAAAUUGGAAAAAAGAAGAAAAUCUUGAUGUCAAAAUUAGAGCUAACAAGGUCUUAGCAAUCACAAGGCUGAAAAAAAGAAUGAGAUGAGUAACACAGUGGACACUUAAUUUUUUUUUAAUUUUUAUUUCCUAUUUAAUCCCCCCUCACCCUCCCCGCUCAUGUCUUUUAUUUCCUCUUAUUCCCCACUGGUAAUUAUGCUCUCUCCUUAAAUAAGUUUUAGGCCAUGUUUUCCUGGAAAGCUCUAGAAAGGGUAGGUGAGGGUUUUGGGUCACAAUUCUGGGUGCUGUUUCAUGCUACAUAUCAAAGGAUAGAGAUUUUUAAUAUCCUGUAGCAAAAUAACAACUGGAAGAGUUUGACCCUGGAAGGCUAUAGCAUCUUCUGUUCCAUUAAUGGAGAACUGGUUUAAUUUGCUUUGUAUUUUUCAGAUCAUUUUUCAUUCCAGCCUAAAGAGCGAGGAAUCAGCGAAGCACCAGAUUUGCAGCCUUGUUUGUUCCAGUUCUCAGAUCUUCUUGAAGCUCUUCAUUUAUUGUGACAACACAUGAAGUACCAGGUGUUCUCCCACUACUGAUGAAGGACAGCACCCAGACAGCCACUGCUGGCAGAGGUUGCGGUGUUCUCUUCCAUCACCCCAGGAGACAUUUCUGGCAGCUUUUCAGAAGAGUCUUCAUUCUCGUGGUGACUUUCAUUUAGAUCUUCAAGGCUACUUUGUACGUACUUCUGAAGCUGAACUUCCAAAAUCUGGAUCCUCCCAUGGCAUGAACUGGUUUUGGAAAUACCCAGAAGUGUACAUACAGCACCCAUCUCCUCAUUGUGGAUAUUAAAAAAGGAGAGUUUGCUAGCAAAGAGUAGAACCUUGCUUCAUGAACUGAGUGAUUUCUCUUUACACCUGGAAUAUUGCAAAGCCUUCCGAAAUCCCCUAAAAUUCGUACCUCCACAGAGGUCUUCCACAGUAAAUAGAUCAUCUUUGAAACUUUCCAGUCAAGAGGAACUACAUAAUCAUCUGGCAACAAGGAUUCUGCAGAAGAAAAUAUUUUUGCAGUUGAGUGUUCGCAUCUCUUCACGGCUGAAGUAUAUCACUGCAUUGUCAUUUCUGCUAAUGCCUGCAUGAGCCAGCAGCAAAGCCAAAACUGACAUUUACCAAAGACCAGGGGAGGGGAGGGAAAAAAGAUUUGGUUUUGUUUUCUUUUUUUAUGCGAAGACUUUCGUUUCCCCCACACUCCCUGAACCACAGCACAAACAAAAACAGAAAGCUCUCAGCCCAUAAAUGCAACAAAACGCGGUUCUGUAACAGACUCCACGUUUUAAAAUGCUCAUUCCUAGGAAGCACUGCAAUAUUAUCCAAUAAAUUACUUUCUAGUAUGUUUUAACUGCAAAAACUCUUCACUUCUCAAGGAGCUGAAAAGAGAUUCUUCAUGGAAAAGCAGUCUAAAAUAUAUUUUGUGCUUAUAAGAGAAACAGCCAAGCAAGUAAAUCAACUUAAUCUUUCAUUUAUAGAUAUCCAAGGACAAUUACCACAAUUUUUCCCUCCAAAAUUAUUAAACAAAAAUUGUCUGCAAUUAUCACUCACAGAUUCUACUGCCUGAUGGAGUGGUUGGCAACCCUGCCUGCAGCAUUCUGUAGUUCUACGUGUAUGCCAAUAAACAGCCUAUCACUACACAGCUGACCACAAAAAAAGCACAAGAACUUCUGAAGUUGUGAGAAAAACACGUUUGAAUCAGAACACAGUCAGCAUUCUGUGGAGCAUUCACACUUUUGAGGAGAAAACAAACCCACAGCAAUCACAAGCUGGGGAGAGCUCAGAGAUAUCAGAGGGGUUUAUAUUCCUUAAAGGUUGUUUCCAAAGGAAACUCAUCUACAAUAUUAUACCAUAGAAUAUCAUAUCAUAGAAUCAUAGAAUGGCCUGGGAUGAAAAGGAUCAUCUAGUUUCAACCCCCUGCU